GCCAAGUGCUAGUUAGAGAUUGAGG
RNAcentral lists this non-coding RNA (25 nucleotides) under Mus musculus (house mouse). The record is from RNAcentral. Lineage: Eukaryota; Metazoa; Chordata; Mammalia; Rodentia; Muridae.